UACGUAGGGGGCUAGCGUUGUCCGGAUUUAUUGGGCGUAAAGAGCGUGUAGGCGGCUUUACAGGUCCGUUGUGAAAACUCGAGGCUCAACCUCGAGACGCCGGUGGAAACCGUAAGGCUAGAGUCCGGAAGAGGAGAGUGGAAUUCCUGGUGUAGCGGUGAAAUGCGCAGAUAUCAGGAGGAACACCCGUGGCGAAGGCGGCAUUCUGGACCGACAUUGACGCUGAGGAGCGAAAGCCAGGGGAGCAAACGGG
RNAcentral lists this ribosomal RNA (253 nucleotides) under uncultured bacterium. Its description in RNAcentral is "partial 16S ribosomal RNA". It matches the Rfam family "Bacterial small subunit ribosomal RNA", at positions 524 to 776 of the family's 1533-position model. The record is from RNAcentral.